Phascolarctos cinereus (koala) is the source of this 332-nucleotide non-coding RNA. The record is from RefSeq and is a predicted model, not a curated record. NCBI's taxonomy places the organism in Eukaryota, Metazoa, Chordata, Mammalia, Diprotodontia, Phascolarctidae.
GCUGACUUCAUAGGCUAUGCGCUCCCCUUGGAACCGGAUGUCGAAAAUCCUCAUACCACUGAACAACUCCAGGCUAAAGAGCAUACAAGCAGACCUAUGGAAAAAGAUGUAAAUCAAGGAAACAGAAUCAGAACCACAUAUACAUUGACUACCAUGGAAGAAAUGGAGGCAGGGAGGGAAGGAAGAAAGAAAGGAAGAAAACAAAAGGCAGAAAAGAACUUAAGACAGAUUUGAGAGUACAAAAAGCAAACACAUUUCAUUUGGUGUUUAAUUUGCUUUUGUUUAUGGUUAUUAAAAUAAAAAACUAGAAUGAAAAACAGAAAAACAAAAAA